This 336-nucleotide ribosomal RNA is filed under the name uncultured bacterium. Its description in RNAcentral is "bacterial SSU rRNA". It matches the Rfam family "Bacterial small subunit ribosomal RNA", at positions 8 to 334 of the family's 1533-position model. The record is from RNAcentral.
AGGGUUUGAUUCUGGCUCAGGAUAAACGCUGGCGGCGUGCUUAACACAUUCAAGUCGAACGGAGUAUGUUUGGAAGCUUGCUUUUGGACAUACUUAGUGGCGGACGGGUGAGUAAUGCAUGAGCAACCUGCCUUCAAGAGGGGGAUAACACAUGGAAACGUGUGCUAAUACCGCAUAGACGUACGGACGGCAUCGUUUGUACGGGAAAGGAGCAAUCCGCUUGAAGAUGGGCUCAUGUCCGAUUAGGUUGUUGGUGAGGUAACGGCUCACCAAGCCUGCGAUCGGUAGCCGGACUGAGAGGUUGAACGGCCACAUUGGAACUGAGAUACGGUCCAG